Etheostoma spectabile (orangethroat darter) is the source of this 326-nucleotide long non-coding RNA. RefSeq lists it as uncharacterized. The record is from RefSeq and is a predicted model, not a curated record. The transcript has 3 exons. NCBI's taxonomy places the organism in Eukaryota, Metazoa, Chordata, Actinopteri, Perciformes, Percidae.
AAUAAAAAAACUGUUGGAAAACAUAAUGCUAUAAAUUUUAUGCUGACUGUUUGUACAGUGGCUGAACUUCAUCGAGACUGCACACAGUUCAGGUCCCAAUGUGAGUCUUAGUUUCACCACCGGACACAAGCUGCACCGAUAUCUCAGGUGUGGCCUCCCUAAUUUUCUAGUUAGACAUUGAAACAAACCUGAGUCAAACUUGGUGAUCUCAAUCCAUGCGUCUGUGGGAAAGCAUCUUGGGAAUAUUUUAGGUAAAGGAACUGCAGGUACUGGAGGAAAAGCUGAUUGGAUGAGAAAGAACAGUGAUAUACACGGUUUCUUUUUUU